AAAAUAUUAACUGUCUCAUUUUGUUUUUUAGAAUUUAAUUUUUUAGUUAAAAAGCUUAAAUUUUUUUAUAGGACGAGAAGACCCUAUAGAUCUUUAUUUUUAAUUUAUUUAUUUAUUUUUGGUUUAUUUUAUUUAUAAUUAUUUUUAAUAUUUUGUUGGGGCGAUACGAAGAUAUUAGAAACUCUUUAUUUUUUUUUUCAUUGAUUUAUGAUUAUUUGACCUUUUAUUAUUGUUAUUAGAUUUAGAUACCUUAGGGAUAACAGCAUAAUUUUCCUUGAGAGUUCAUAUCGACAGGGGGGGUUGUGACCUCGAUGUUGGAUUAAGAUUAUUAUUGGGUGUAGUGGCUUGAUUAUUAGGUCUGUUCGACCUUUAAAUUCUUACAUGAUCUGAGUUCAAACCGGAG
Molecule: ribosomal RNA, 403 nt
Filed under: Stenobrimus bolivari
Lineage: Eukaryota; Metazoa; Arthropoda; Insecta; Phasmatodea; Heteropterygidae
Description: partial 16S ribosomal RNA
Rfam family: Bacterial large subunit ribosomal RNA (bases 256-403)
Source: RNAcentral